CAUGGAGGGUGAGAAUCCCGUCCGGUUGAUCAUUGCGUUUUACGAUACGCUUUCUAAGAGUCAAGUUGUUUGGGAUUGCAGCUUAAAAUGGGAGGUAAAUUUCUCCUAAGGCUAAAUAACGGCGAGAGACCGAUAGCGAACAAGUACCGUGAGGGAAAGAUGAAAAGAACUUCGAAAAGAGAGUUAAACAGUACGUGAAAUUGUUGAAAGGGAAACGAUUGAAGCCAGUCGUACCUGUGGGUAAUCAGCCUUUUGGGUGUGAUUUUGUGGAGUGUGAAGAGUCAAACGCCUUCAUGCCUGCAUAUUCGUGCACUUUGGGUGUAUUUACCCGUGUGGUAAGUUAACAUCAAUUUCGGUGGUCAUAAAAUGGCUGGAGGAAUGUAGCUUCGAUCUUGUAUUGAAGUGUUAUAGCCUUCGGCAGAUGUGAUGAUCGGGAUUGAGGAUUGCAACGGAUACCCUUCGAGGCUACCUGCCUGAUCUCUGAUCGUUGCUCUGGUGCCGAAAGCUUGCUUACGGUUAUCAAAGUCGAUGGUCAAUAGGUUAGAACGGGUUAAAUUCGUUAAGGAUGUUGACGUAAUGG
This 580-nucleotide ribosomal RNA is filed under the name uncultured Glomeromycotina. RNAcentral describes it as "LSU rRNA". It matches the Rfam family "Eukaryotic large subunit ribosomal RNA", at positions 204 to 637 of the family's 3401-position model. The record is from RNAcentral. Lineage: Eukaryota; Fungi; Glomeromycota.